UAAGUAAACCGGGUGACUGCCCUGAUUCGUUCGGGGAGGAAAGUCCGAGCUCCACCGGGCAGGAUGCUGGAUAACGUCCAGGAGGGGCGACCCUACGGAAAGUGCCACAGAAACAUACCGUCCCGAUGAACCUCCGGGUGAAUCGGGAUAAGGGUGAAAUGGUGAGGUAAGAGCUCACCGGCAGUCGGGUGACCGGCUGGCCGGGAAAACCCCAUCCGGAGCAAGACCAAAUAGGGGAAUGGAGAGCGCCCGGCUCAGUUCCCGGGUUGGUUGCAUGACCCCGAUGGUAACAUCGGGGCUAGAUAGAUGGUCACCGUCCCGAUUGUAUCGGGAUACAGAACUCGGCUUACAGGUUUACUUAACCC
RNAcentral lists this RNase P RNA (365 nucleotides) under Dehalococcoidales bacterium. Its description in RNAcentral is "RNase P RNA component class A". It matches the Rfam family "Bacterial RNase P class A". From Rfam's summary of the family: Ribonuclease P (RNase P) is a ubiquitous endoribonuclease, found in archaea, bacteria and eukarya as well as chloroplasts and mitochondria. Its best characterised activity is the generation of mature 5'-ends of tRNAs by cleaving the 5'-leader elements of precursor-tRNAs. Lineage: Bacteria; Bacillati; Chloroflexota; Dehalococcoidia; Dehalococcoidales. The record is from RNAcentral.